UACAGAGGUCUCGAGCGUUAGGCGGAAUCACUGGGCUUAAAGCGUGUGUAGGCGGAUCGUUAAGUGCCUUGUGAAAUCCCACGGCUCAACCGUGGAACUGCUUGGCAUACUGGCGGUCUUGAGCCAUCUAGGGGCUACCGGAACAAAUGGUGGAGCGGUGAAAUGCGUAGAUAUCAUUUGGAACGCCAAUGGUGAAAACAGGUAGCUGGGGAUGUGCUGACGCUGAGACACGAAAGCCAGGGGAGCGAACGGG
Molecule: ribosomal RNA, 253 nt
Filed under: uncultured bacterium
Lineage: Bacteria
Description: partial 16S ribosomal RNA
Rfam family: Bacterial small subunit ribosomal RNA
Source: RNAcentral